CCUACGGGGGGCAGCAGUAGGGAAUAUUGCUCAAUGGGGGAAACCCUGAAGCAGCAACGCCGCGUGGAGGAUGAAGGUUUUCGGAUUGUAAACUCCUUUUGUUAGAGAAGAUAAUGACGGUAUCUAACGAAUAAGCACCGGCUAACUCCGUGUCAGCAGCCGCGGUAAUACGGAGGGUGCAAGCGUUACUCGGAAUCACUGGGCGUAAAGGGCGCGUAGGCGGGAUAGCAAGUCAGAUGUGAAAUCCUAUGGCUUAACCAUAGAACUGCAUUUGAAACUGGUAUUCUAGAGUAUGGGAGAGGUAGGUGGAAUUCUUGGUGUAGGGGUAAAAUCCGUAGAGAUCAAGAAGAAUACUCAUUGCGAAGGCGACCUGCUAGAACAUAACUGACGCUGAUGCGCGAAAGCGUGGGGAGCAAACAGGAUUAGAUACCCGUGUAGUC
Molecule: ribosomal RNA, 440 nt
Filed under: uncultured bacterium
Lineage: Bacteria
Description: partial 16S ribosomal RNA
Rfam family: Bacterial small subunit ribosomal RNA
Source: RNAcentral